AAUAGAUACCCAGGUAGUCCAUGCCGUAAACGUUGGGCACUAGGUGUGGGGGACAUUCCACGUUUUCCGCGCCGUAGCUAACGCAUUAAGUGCCCCGCCUGGGGAGUACGGCCGCAAGGCUAAAACUCAAAGGAAUUGACGGGGGCCCGCACAAGCGGCGGAGCAUGCGGAUUAAUUCGAUGCAACGCGAAGAACCUUACCAAGGCUUGACAUGGACCGGACCGCCGCAGAAAUGUGGUUUCUCCUUUUGGGGCCGGUUCACAGGUGGUGCAUGGUUGUCGUCAGCUCGUGUCGUGAGAUGUUGGGUUAAGUCCCGCAACGAGCGCAACCCUCGUUCCAUGUUGCCAGCACGUGAUGGUGGGGACUCAUGGGAGACUGCCGGGGUCAACUCGGAGGAAGGUGGGGACGACGUCAAAUCAUCAUGCCCCUUAUGUCUUGGGCUUCACGCAUGCUACAAUGGCCGGUACAAAGGGUUGCGAUACUGUGAGGUGGAGCUAAUCCCAAAAAGCCGGUCUCAGUUCGGAUUGGGGUCUGCAACUCGACCCC
This 546-nucleotide ribosomal RNA is filed under the name uncultured bacterium. RNAcentral's name for it is "bacterial SSU rRNA". It matches the Rfam family "Bacterial small subunit ribosomal RNA", at positions 777 to 1319 of the family's 1533-position model. The record is from RNAcentral.